This 541-nucleotide ribosomal RNA is filed under the name uncultured bacterium. Its description in RNAcentral is "partial 16S ribosomal RNA". It matches the Rfam family "Bacterial small subunit ribosomal RNA", at positions 355 to 889 of the family's 1533-position model. The record is from RNAcentral.
UGGGGAAUUUUGGACAAUGGGCGAAAGCCUGAUCCAGCAAUGCCGCGUGUGUGAAGAAGGCCUUCGGGUUGUAAAGCACUUUUGUCCGGAAAGAAAUCCUUGGCUCUAAUACAGUCGGGGGAUGACGGUACCGGAAGAAUAAGCACCGGCUAACUACGUGCCAGCAGCCGCGGUAAUACGUAGGGUGCAAGCGUUAAUCGGAAUUACUGGGCGUAAGCGUGCGCAGGCGGUUUGCUAAGACCGAUGUGAAAUCCCCGGGCUCAACCUGGGAACUGCAUUGGUGACUGGCAGGCUAGAGUAUGGCAGAGGGGGGUAGAAUUCCACGUGUAGCAGUGAAAUGCGUAGAGAUGUGGAGGAAUACCGAUGGCGAAGGCAGCCCCCUGGGCCAAUACUGACGCUCAUGCACGAAAGCGUGGGGAGCAAACAGGAUUAGAUACCCUGGUAGUCCACGCCCUAAACGAUGUCAACUAGUUGUUGGGGACUUCAUUUCCUUAGUAACGUAGCUAACGCGUGAAGUUGACCGCCUGGGGAGUACGGUCGU